GAUGAACGCUGGCGGCGUGCCUAACACAUGCAAGUCGAACGGGAUUUAUUGGAAGGAAGCUUCGGCAGACGGAAGAUAAAUCUAGUGGCGGACGGGUGAGUAACACGUGGAUAACCUGCCCUUUGCAGGGGGAUAACAUUCAGAAAUGGAUGCUAAAACCGCAUAAGCUCACGGCGUGGCAUCACGGAGUGAGAAAAUAUUGAUAGGCAAAGGAGGGGUCCGCGACUGAUUAGCUAGUUGGCGGGGUAAAGGCUCACCAAGGCGACGAUCAGUAGCCGGCCUGAGAGGGCGAACGGCCACAUUGGGACUGAGACACGGCCCAAACUCCUACGGGAGGCAGCAGUGGGGAAUAUUGCGCAAUGGGGGGAACCCUGACGCAGCAACGCCGCGUGAAGGACGAAGGCCUUCGGGUUGUAAACUUCUAUCGAUGGGGAAGAAAAAAAUGACGGUACCCAAGUAAGAAGCACCGGCUAAAUACGUGCCAGCAGCCGCGGUAAAAC
This 500-nucleotide ribosomal RNA is filed under the name uncultured bacterium. Its description in RNAcentral is "bacterial SSU rRNA". It matches the Rfam family "Bacterial small subunit ribosomal RNA", at positions 28 to 526 of the family's 1533-position model. The record is from RNAcentral.